RNAcentral lists this small RNA (28 nucleotides) under Bombyx mori (domestic silkworm). RNAcentral describes it as "ovarian small RNA-216". The record is from RNAcentral. Lineage: Eukaryota; Metazoa; Arthropoda; Insecta; Lepidoptera; Bombycidae.
UUUGUGUUGGCCAUUCCUAGGCGACUGC